This is a long non-coding RNA of Acipenser ruthenus (sterlet), 673 nucleotides long. RefSeq lists it as uncharacterized. Lineage: Eukaryota; Metazoa; Chordata; Actinopteri; Acipenseriformes; Acipenseridae. The transcript has 3 exons. The record is from RefSeq and is a predicted model, not a curated record.
GACACACAUGAAAGCGGUGAUGAUCAGCGGCGUCAUGCAGCUACAAUUGUUGGGGGGCACAGUCAAAAAGCAAGUACUUCUGUUAUCAAUGCAGCCAGCAGACAGAUCUCUUCUCUUGGGUCACUGAACCGAACCAGCUCAGAACCGAACCUACACCUGCUCCGGGCUACAGUGUAAAUUCCAGAAAAAAAGAAUAACGCGGCGAUGGGCAACGCAGAAUCGGACCGCCGUGAGCAGGAGGCGCAAAAGAUCAUCAACUUCAUCCCAGGAGUCAACUUGGCUUACAACGCCACCCGCAGCGCCGUGUACGCCGCGAAGGGAGACGGGCCGGAGGUGGCCAGGAGUGGCAUCGCGGUAGUCGGGGGUGCUGGCUGGGGGGCCGGCUGGUGGGGUGUUAGCCACAGUCGGGGCAGCGGCCCUUGAUGAUGUACUAAAGAAUAAGGACUAAGAAGAGAGGUUAAGGGAGAGGGGAGCACAACGCUGUGAGAGGAGGGUGACCCCACACUCCCACUUUCUUCUCCUCACACCACACCCAUGUCCUAAUAUAUGAACACAAUAUGCAAUGUCUGUACUUAUGUGACGUGUUUAGAGAAUAUUUCAAUAAAAUAAGUUGCCUUCUUUUGGAGUGGUGUGUUUUGAAACAAUGGUCCUAUUAGGUUGGGUAUUAGUUCAG